GACGAACGCUGGCGGCGUGCUUAACACAUGCAAGUCGAACGGAAAGGCCCUGCUUUUGUGGGGUGCUCGAGUGGCGAACGGGUGAGUAACACGUGAGUAACCUGCCCUUGACUUUGGGAUAACUUCAGGAAACUGGGGCUAAUACCGGAUAGGAGCUCCUGCUGCAUGGUGGGGGUUGGAAAGUUUCGGCGGUUGGGGAUGGACUCGCGGCUUAUCAGCUUGUUGGUGGGGUAGUGGCUUACCAAGGCUUUGACGGGUAGCCGGCCUGAGAGGGUGACCGGCCAAAUUGGGACUGAGAUACGGCCCAGACUCCUACGGGAGGCAGCAGUGGGGAAUAUUGCACAAUGGGCGGAACCCUGAUGCAGCAACGCCGCGGGCGGGAUGACGGCCUUGGGGUUGUAAACCGCUUUCCCCUGUGACGAAGGGUGGGUGACGGUAAUGGGUAAAGAAGCACCGGCUAACUACGU
This 467-nucleotide ribosomal RNA is filed under the name uncultured bacterium. RNAcentral's name for it is "partial 16S ribosomal RNA". It matches the Rfam family "Bacterial small subunit ribosomal RNA", at positions 28 to 506 of the family's 1533-position model. The record is from RNAcentral.